UAGGGAAUCUUCCGCAAUGGGCGAAAGCCUGACGGAGCAACGCCGCGUGAGUGAUGAAGGUCUUCGGAUCGUAAACCUCUGUUAUUAGGGAAGAACAAAUGUGUAAGUAACUAUGCACGUCUUGACGGUACCUAAUCAGAAAGCCACGGCUAACUACGUGCCAGCAGCCGCAGUAAUACGUAGGUGGCAAGCGUUAUCCGGAAUUAUUGGGCGUAAAGCGCGCGUAGGCGGGUUUUUAAGUCUGAUGUGAAAGCCCACGGCUCAACCGUGGAGGGUCAUUGGAAACUGGAAAACUUGAGUGCAGAAGAGGAAAGUGGAAUUCCAUGGGUAGCGGUGAAAGGCGCAGAGAUAUGGAGGAACACCAGUGGCGAAGGCGACUUUCUGGUCUGUAACUGACGCUGAUGUGCGAAAGCGUGGGGAUCAAACAGG
Molecule: ribosomal RNA, 429 nt
Filed under: Actinomycetes bacterium
Lineage: Bacteria; Bacillati; Actinomycetota; Actinomycetes
Description: Actinobacteria bacterium partial 16S ribosomal RNA
Rfam family: Bacterial small subunit ribosomal RNA
Source: RNAcentral